UGUGUAGGCGGUUGUCUAAGUUUGGUGUGAAAUCUCCCGGCUCAACUGGGAGGGUGCGCCGAAUACUGAAUGACUAGAGUGCGGGAGAGGAAAGUGGAAUUCCUGGUGUAGCGGUGAAAUGCGUAGAUAUCAGGAGGAACACCGGUGGUGUAGACGGCUUUCUGGACCGUAACUGACGCUGAGACACGAAAGCGUGGGUAGCAAACAGGAUUAGAUACCCUGGUAGUCCACGCCCUAAACGAUGCAUAUUUGGUGUGGGCAGUUCAUUCUGUCCGUGCCGGAGCUAACGCGUUAAAUAUGCCGCCUGGGGAGUACAGUCGCAAGGCUGAA
Molecule: ribosomal RNA, 330 nt
Filed under: uncultured bacterium
Lineage: Bacteria
Description: bacterial SSU rRNA
Rfam family: Bacterial small subunit ribosomal RNA
Source: RNAcentral